Molecule: RNA transcript, 4425 nt
Organism: Brachypodium distachyon (stiff brome)
Lineage: Eukaryota; Viridiplantae; Streptophyta; Magnoliopsida; Poales; Poaceae
Gene name: serine/threonine-protein kinase prpf4B
Exons: 14
Source: RefSeq, a predicted model, not a curated record
AUCCUUUCUCUAGUCGCCGGCCCGCCUCGCCUCGCGCCGCAAACCCUAACCCUACCCUCGAGAUGGCCGGAGAACCCUCGCCGUCGCCGCCCACCUCCUCCCCCGCCAAGCACCGCCGCCGCUCGCACGACGACGCCGACCCCGACGCCUCCCCGAAGCGCCGCAGGCACCACCGCCACCACCACCGCCACCGCUCGCACCGCCACCGUCACGUGGAGGAUGACGAGCCCCCGCUACCAGCGACGGCCGACGAAGACGUGGAGGAGGGAGAGAUACUGGACGACGGCAGCGCCGCCGCCGCCGCCGCUAUGGAUGUCGACACCCACGCCAAGAACGAUUCCGCCUCUGCUCCGGAUCUCUUUGGUAAUCAUGCUGAUACCAACUCAACCAUUGAUGCAACCAAGCUGCAUGCUUUGCGGCUGUCUAGUCAUUCACCCUCCAAAGACGAACGCGAGUCAAAUCACGCUGCUCGUGAGUCUGAAAGUGGAGGUAUCUUUUCAAGCGAUGCAGAGAAUGCCAAAGGAUAUGGACAAAGUCAAAGGGUGUCAAAAUCUCCAGAACCGACAAGGGACAAGGGAAGAAGGCACAAAGAUGAGCAUCAAACUACGCCUUCUAAAGAUUCUCAUCCGAAAGAUCACACCAAAAGAUCUCCUUCCUCGAGGCACCACACUGAAGUUCAUGCUAGGAAUCACUCAAGGGCUGGAGAAGCUGAUGCCGAAGCUAAUGGUUCACGGGCAAGUCCAAGGGAUGAUUCUGAUCGUGAUAACAGUGAUAGGAAUGGUUUUGGUAGGCAUGCGACUAGGGUAAGGCAGGAUGAGAAACACAGGAGCAGCAGUCGUACUGUUCACGAAGGACAUGGUGACAGGCGUGACGGCAGAGAAAGAUAUAGGGAUGAAAGGAGGCACAGCAGCAACGUUGUAGAUAGAGACAAUGUUGAUCGUAGGCACAGAGAAAGGAGCAGCAGUUAUAGUAGACCUGAACGAAGGGAAAGUGCACACCACACUCGUGAUGAAAGCAGGGAGAGGGAAAGACGGAGUGGUAGUUCAAGGCAUAAAGACCACGGGAGAAGGGAAUCAAGUACAGAUCGUUAUAAGGAAUACAACAUGGUUGGUACUGGUAAUGAAAAGGAUAAAGUGCGAGAGGAUAGAGACAGGGGGAGGCAUAGGGAUAUGGAAAGUGAAACUCGUAGAACUGGAGCUGGAGAACGGAAGGACAGAGUUAGCAAUAUUGAUAGGCAGAUGGAUUCUUCACGCUCAAAAUACAGCACGUCUGAUGUUCAUAAAGGUAGGCCAAGAUCCGGGGAGAAAGGUAGAGAUUCUGACAGUAGAAGCCAGAGAUCUAGGGGAAUGAAGGAAAAUUCUUUCAAGGAGGAAGACGAAGAAGAGUAUCAAGAGAAAAUUGAGCAACAAUUGGCCAUGCAGGAAGAAGAGGACCCUGAAAAAAUUAAGGAGGAAGCGAGGAGGAGGAAAGAAGCUAUUUUGGCAAAAUACAGGCAGCAACAAUUGCAGAAGCAGCAACUGGAAUCUGUAUCUAGAAACGCUGAUGAAGUAAGAACAUUGGAUCGAGGUGAGACUGUAGAUGUGAAAGAUGAUAAUGAUAGCAUUUCUGUGGACAACGAGGAAGCUGAAAACAAGCAAGAUUCUUCAGAUGCAUUUGUUGGUGAAGCGGACUUCACUGUGGGCAAGUCUCCUGCCUGUGAUGCUGCUGUAGCCCAUGCGGAUGCAUUGGGUAAUGAGAGGACAACAGCUGUUUCAGGCCUUGGAGAGGGUACUCCAAAGAGCGAGAGAUCAGCGGAUAUGUUUUGUGAUGAUAUUUUCGGAGAAUCACCUCCAGGAUUUCGAAAAUUGGAUAAGGAUGAUGGCUUGUGUAUUGAGAAAAAUGCUCUUCACGACAAUUGGGAUGAUCCUGAGGGAUACUAUACUCAUCGAUUUGGGGAAUUGUUGGAUGGCCGUUAUGAAAUUACAGCCGCACAUGGGAAGGGGGUGUUCUCUACAGUCGUCCGGGCAAAAGAUCUUAAAGCCGGGAAAGAUGACCCUGAAGUAGUUGCUAUUAAAAUUAUUCGCAAGAACGAGACAAUGUACAAGGCUGGUAAGCAAGAGGUUUCAAUAUUAGAAAAACUGGCAAGUGCGGAUCGUGAGGACAGACGCCACUGCGUGCGGUUUAUUUCUAGUUUCAUGUACCGGAACCAUCUUUGCUUAGUUUUUGAAUCUUUAAAUAUGAAUCUCCGUGAGGUACUAAAGAAAUUUGGUCGUAAUAUUGGGCUUAAACUGACUGCUGUGAGGGCAUAUUCAAAGCAGCUUUUCAUCGCGUUGAAGCACCUGAAGAACUGCAAAGUUCUGCACUGCGAUAUAAAGCCAGAUAAUAUGCUGGUGAAUGAUGCUAAGAAUGUCCUGAAGCUAUGUGAUUUUGGCAAUGCUAUGCUUGCUGGAAUGAAUGAGGUCACGCCUUAUCUUGUCAGCCGUUUUUAUCGGGCGCCUGAGAUCAUUCUUGGUCUGCCCUAUGAUCACCCAUUGGACAUCUGGUCAGUUGGCUGUUGUCUAUAUGAGCUUUCUACCGGAAAGGUCUUAUUUCCAGGUGCAACAAAUAACGACAUGCUUCGGCUUCAUAUGGAACUGAAGGGCCCCUUCCCUAAGAAGAUGCUCCGGAAGGGUGCGUUCACGAUGCAACACUUCGACCAAGAUCUCAAUUUUAACGCUAUCGAUGAAGAUCCUGUGACAAAAAAGCCUGUGAGGAGGUUGAUUCUCAAUAUUAAACCAAAGGAUAUGGGUUCUUUGAUUUCAAACUUUGCUGGCGAGGACCCAAAAAUGCUCUCCAAUUUUAAAGAUCUUCUUGAAAAAAUAUUUGUCUUAGAUCCAGAUAAGAGGAUAACCGUGUCACAGGCACUUAGCCAUCCAUUUAUCACUGGCAAGUGAAAAAUAAGAUGUUGAUUCCUCUUGACAUUGUAAACUACAAUUUGGGUUCCUCCUGUCUAAUCAUCGGCAUUUCUAUCUUGUGUCCUGGACUCCUUGGAGCUAUGAGAUCCGAGUACAUGGAUGAAGCAUGGGAUUGCUGAAGAGAUGGCUGUCUUACAGGCCUUGCUGCAUUCACUUGUCAUUUGGAUAUGUUCUGUUGCUUGGUUUCUGCCAGGACCUCUGCUGCGUGCACAUUUUAUAUCCUUAAGGGCCUACAUAAGAAGAUUCCUGGAUGCACCGGUUACACUUGUCAUGUGGUAACCUCUUUGAACUUCCUAGAUAUGUCUUAGUUCGUUCUUAAAUGUCCUCUCUCUAUGAACAACCUUUUUUUAUGUGUAUGUCUAGGGUGUUCUCUAAUCUUCAUUACAGGAUUCUGUUAAGUAUUUUAACGAACCAGAGUUUUUUUUUUGAGGGAUAACGAAGCAGAGUUAAUUGGUAGGUAAUAUCUUAUGAGAACUUUAGUGCUUCACACAUGACGUUCUUACUGAGUGCUUUCACUCUUCAGAAACGCUCCGUAUUAUUAGGUUAUGUAACUCCUUUGGUAUUUGGCGCUAUCUCAUUGUGUAAUGAAGCAAGUGAAAAGUUGGAGAAACUUAGCAGUGUAGCUAAAAAAAAAUGUAUGCACAUUUAUUACGUGAAAAUCUGGAAGUGCACCCUGAAGCUGCUGCUUUUAUUUCCAUUCAGUUGAUGCCUUCAAACGCAUUUGUCAAUGACUCAAUGUUCGCCUUAAGGCUAAAUGCCACAUCCUGAAGUACUUAAGCAAUAUAUUCAUUUAGAAGAUAAACAUGCUGUUAGAUAAAAUCUUGUCUUAUCAUAGAUGAAUGUAAACGUUCUAUGUUUUCUUCUCUUCCCAUAUCAAGAUAGUUGUUAGAUAAAUUGUCUUAUAUCAUAAAUGGAUGUAAACUUCCACAGUUUUCUUCUCUUCCAAUACGAAGAUAACUUGACGUUGGAUAUAUGACCUAGUACUUAAAAAUUGUUGCCCUUCUUUUGGAUUUUGUGCUUUACAGAAUCAUACUAUACAUAGCUUUUUUUUCUUUCUGUUGUUUAAAUUGUUCACUGCCAUUUGAAUUAUUUUGGCAGUGGCGAACGAUUAUUUAAUUAUUGAUGUUGUAGUUAAGUUAUUACAUUUAUCUGAUAUUAAUGUUCUGCUAACAUGACCUUAACUUUUGGCUGGGCGUAAAAGGUUUAUGCAAAUGAUAACUUCUCACCUGAUAUUCUGCAUUGGUCGGUUCUGCACUUGCAUCUAGUUGGUUCCAGUUCAGUAAAAUGCUAUAUUUUGCAGCAGCAUUUUAAAUUUUUUGAUAUCAAGCUGUACUUAAGGAUACAUGGUCUAAACAGCUUGAUUCUGAAACCGCUAGCCACAUUUUUUUUCAGGAACUAGCCAAAUUUAGAUAUCGGAUUAUUGUGGCUUCUGUUCCUUGAUGUAAUUCAGAAAACAAAAUAAAAAAACUUCGAAGCUACUUUUUUUUGUUAA